AUGAGUGUUUUAAGCUGGAACAAUCGGGGGCUUGGGAACCCCGAGGCAGUUCGGGAGCUUCGCAGUAUCGUGAAGCUUGAAGGCCCCUCCCUUCUCUUUGUAAUGGAAACUAAAAUCAAAGCAAAAAGAGUUGAGGAUCUGAAGUUUACGCUUGGUUUUGAAGGAAGUUUUGCAGUUGAAAGUGUUGGCCUUAGUGGCGGCAUAGGUCUUUUU
Molecule: ribosomal RNA, 213 nt
Filed under: Triticum aestivum (bread wheat)
Lineage: Eukaryota; Viridiplantae; Streptophyta; Magnoliopsida; Poales; Poaceae
Description: partial small subunit ribosomal RNA
Source: RNAcentral